UCCCUGAUGGUCUAGUGGUAAGGAUUCGGCGCUUUCAUCGCCGUGGCCCGGGUUCGAUUCCCGGUCAGGGAA
RNAcentral lists this transfer RNA (72 nucleotides) under Ameiurus melas (black bullhead). It matches the Rfam family "tRNA". From Rfam's summary of the family: Transfer RNA (tRNA) molecules are approximately 80 nucleotides in length. Lineage: Eukaryota; Metazoa; Chordata; Actinopteri; Siluriformes; Ictaluridae. The record is from Rfam by way of RNAcentral.